GUAGGCCACCGGAAGGAAGUGGAGGACCACCAACUUUGAUCGGAAUAGCUUCGGCGAAAACAGCUUUAACGAAUGAACCACCGGCUAAACCAGCCGCCACGAGUCCAAUCACUGACCGGCGACUACUUUCUGGUACUGACACGUUCUGCUGAGCCCUGAUCACAAGUCCGGUUCUCUGAGACCCAACCGAGACUCUUGAGAUGUUCAAACGGUUUGAGCCGUUGAUCUGUAAACUUCCUUCAAGGACAGCCUGAGAUGCUCCACGUAAGCCAGCCAUCGAAGUCACUGCUUGAGCCAUUUUUUUUUUAUCUGCUUUGAAUAAUUGAUUAGUGAAGUG
RNAcentral lists this small RNA (337 nucleotides) under Arabidopsis thaliana (thale cress). RNAcentral describes it as "ATSL196370". Lineage: Eukaryota; Viridiplantae; Streptophyta; Magnoliopsida; Brassicales; Brassicaceae. The record is from RNAcentral.